AUCCGGCUGACGAGUCCCAAAUAGGACGAAACGCUCAUCAAACUGAAU
Schistosoma mansoni is the source of this 48-nucleotide non-coding RNA. The record is from Rfam. Lineage: Eukaryota; Metazoa; Platyhelminthes; Trematoda; Strigeidida; Schistosomatidae.